AUGGUCAUGACUACGAUGAGACAUUUGCUCCUAUAUAUAUGGCCCACACGGCCACUCUUCGCACACUUCUCAAUAUGGCUUCUAUUCGCCGCUAGUCUGUCUCUUAGCUUGAUGUCAAGAAUGCCUACAAGUAGCCACCACCUGGGUUCUCUUCCUGAUGGCAUGGUUUGUCGUCUUCGUCACUGUCUAUAUGGCCCUAAGCAAACCACUCGUGCCUGGUUUGAGCGCUUCGUCUCAGUGGUGAUUGCGACUGGUUUUUGGCGAGUGCUCAUGAUCCUGCACUUUCAGUCCACCAUUCAACUCAUGGUCAAACACUUCGUCCACAUGGCAAUCACGACGACUCUUAAGUACAUUGCCUUCGUGACGGCUCGUCAUAGUGAAUUUCGUAUGUCUGAUCUUGAUCCUCUUAGCUACUUCCUUGAGAUUGUUCAUUAUUGCCAAAGAGAAGUAUAUCCAGGAUCUUGCUCGUGCUGCGCUUACUAA
Molecule: ribosomal RNA, 483 nt
Filed under: Triticum aestivum (bread wheat)
Lineage: Eukaryota; Viridiplantae; Streptophyta; Magnoliopsida; Poales; Poaceae
Description: partial small subunit ribosomal RNA
Source: RNAcentral